CCGAGUUCCUCAUUUAUGAUUUAUCGACAAAGAAGGAGAUAAAUGGGUCCUAAUGGUACAAUGUGAAUUGGUGGGCGUUCACACAGAGUUGCUCAAGUGUCAGAUUUUGCUUUAAUGUUGAAAUGUUCCCUCAUCAGAGUCUUUGGUGACACAGAGCUGAUCACAUCUCAUGUAAUAUUUAAAAUCUAUCCAGCACCUACUGCUUUGCACUUUAAUUGGUUGCCUUUUGAAACCCUUUUGCAGAGUUUAGUUUAUAUUUGUGCGUUGAUGCGGAUAGGCAGGGUGAGAAAAGUACAUGAUAUUCAUUUCACAAGUGUUUUUUUUUGUUUGUUUAAGAGUCCUGUCUUAUUGUCUGUUUUUAGCUCUCCAGUCAUUAGUAAGAAACCAGUAGAAUGAUAUUUGUGGUU
Long non-coding RNA from Xiphophorus hellerii (green swordtail), 407 nucleotides. RefSeq lists it as uncharacterized. Lineage: Eukaryota; Metazoa; Chordata; Actinopteri; Cyprinodontiformes; Poeciliidae. The transcript is spliced from 2 exons. The record is from RefSeq and is a predicted model, not a curated record.